UAAUAACAAUAAUUAAAUUAAUAGGGAAAAUUUAACUUCAAAACAAUCAUAAACAAGAAUGUCUCAUAUAUCACACAUAACAAGAAUCAUAAAUAUACGAAAUAAUUAAAUCCAAAUUCCAAUCUUAUACAUUAAAAAUUAAAUUAAAAAAAAAGUAGAAUAUAAAUAUAAAAUACACAAAUCUUGUCACAAUCCUCAGAAACAAGCGUCCAAUACACAGCAACAACAAAGGGCGGCACAACUGCAAAUACAAAUUAAUAUUUAUUUUAAAUAUAUAUAUUCAUAAAUAAUUUAAAAAAAAUAAUUAAUAUAAUCCAAUUAGUUUUAUAUAUAUAUAUAAAAAAAAAAAGAGGAUAAAUAGGGUAAAUAUAAAAAUAUUAAUUACCAUCCUUUCAAGAAGCCGUCGCCUUUUGAUUGUGUGGUAACUGGUGGGGCCUGGCCUUGUUGAUCAUGACCAUCUUUCAUCGGAUAACCGGCCGGCGGCGGCGCCAUGUAACCACCCUGCGGCUCCGCCGGGUAUGCGGUGGCUGGUGGCGGAUAUGCUGCUGCAAAACAAAGAGUUGAUGAUGAUUAAAUAUAAUCCACCUAUAUAUAUUUUUAUGAUAUUAAGAGUUGCAACUUCUUCUAGAAACUAUUACUUACCUUGAUUACUCAUGUUGAUCUAGAGAGAGAGAGAUGUAGAGAGAGAGUAAAAUCAAAGGCAAAAUAUGUAUAUGAUCAGUUGAGAGAUGGAGAGGAAGUGUAUGUAUAUGUAUCUGUGAGUGUGUAUAUAUAGACAGGUGGG
Molecule: long non-coding RNA, 784 nt
Filed under: Erythranthe guttata (spotted monkey flower)
Lineage: Eukaryota; Viridiplantae; Streptophyta; Magnoliopsida; Lamiales; Phrymaceae
Description: long non-coding RNA (EGUT_LNC000415)
Source: RNAcentral